UCCUCCCGAAUCGGGAAAGGGAAACAGUUGGUAACUUCAAGAAUGCUGCCAACAUCUAACCCAAGAAGCUGGCCAGUUACCAAAGCAGGAGAGAACUCCUUGCAGUGUUUGAUUAUCUUCAAAAUAACCAGUCCCUCGAUCUGAACAACUCGAAGGGGAGGAGCAACCUCCUCUGUUGAUGCUACCUGAAGGAACGAUCUUGCAAUUGUGUUGCUGUUGUUAGCCAUGACCGAGUAGGAUCCCCAAAGAUGAAAAUUCGGCGCGAGAAUUUUGGCUAGGGCAAAGCUUUUCCUUCUCUGCAGUCUCUGCUACUAACCUAAAGCCCGCACUGUCAUCGGGCC
Molecule: unclassified non-coding RNA, 341 nt
Filed under: Hevea brasiliensis (rubber tree)
Lineage: Eukaryota; Viridiplantae; Streptophyta; Magnoliopsida; Malpighiales; Euphorbiaceae
Source: RNAcentral